GCUGAGAUCAAGCCACUGUGCUCCAUCCAGCCUGGGCAACAGAGUGAGACUCUGUCUCAAAAAAAAUAAACAAAUUUAAAAAAAUAAACAAAAGUCCAAAAUUAUGGCCCUUUGUGGAUGUGAGUCCUGGGCUAGGUGGCUUUCUCACCUUGCCUCAAGGCUGUCACAUUUCCAGACACCUAUGUACUCUCUUUCUCUCUUCCUGGCUUGCUUGCUGUGUUAACUCUUCAUCCAUCUUUGCAGCGCUAGCAAAUUCUUCCUUAGUGGUAAAACUUGAACCCACCAUCUGAUGGGUUUCGGGACCAGGCACCAUUCCCGCACUGUGUGCCUGGUUGGUCAAGACGACACCAAGUCAUUAGACCGGGAUGGCCUCUUGCACUUUGGAGGUUUG
RNAcentral lists this long non-coding RNA (391 nucleotides) under Homo sapiens (human). Its description in RNAcentral is "non-protein coding lnc-EIF4E3-5:1". The record is from RNAcentral. Lineage: Eukaryota; Metazoa; Chordata; Mammalia; Primates; Hominidae.